This 446-nucleotide ribosomal RNA is filed under the name uncultured bacterium. RNAcentral describes it as "bacterial SSU rRNA". It matches the Rfam family "Bacterial small subunit ribosomal RNA", at positions 329 to 792 of the family's 1533-position model. The record is from RNAcentral.
UGCCAGACUCCUACGGGAGGCAGCAGUGGGGAAUAUUGCACAAUGGGGGAAACCCUGAUGCAGCGACGCCGCGUGAGCGAUGAAGUAUUUCGGUAUGUAAAGCUCUCUCAGCAGGGAAGAAAAUGACGGUACCUGACUAAGAAGCCCCGGCUAACUACGUGCCAGCAGCCGCGGUAAUACGUAGGGGGCAAGCGUUAUCCGGAUUCACUGGGCGUAAAGGGAGCGCAGGCGGCACGGCAAGUCUGAUGUGAAAGCCCGGGGCUCAACCCCGGGACUGCAUUGGAAACUGCCGGGCUGGAGUGUCGGAGGGGUAAGCGGAAUUCCUAGUGUAGCGGUGAAAUGCGUAGAUAUUAGGAGGAACACCAGUGGCGAAGGCGGCUUACUGGACGAUCACUGACGCUGAGGCUCGAAAGCGUGGGGAGCAAACAGGAUUAGAUACCCCUGUA